UGCACGAUUACGACAAAAAUCAUAAUUGUUUAUUAUUCUCUUGAAAUUGUAAUUGCGAUUAUUAAUUACGAUUAUCACAAUUACAUGGAAUGAUGUUUUGAAUAGCUUUAUAUCAUUGUUUGAAGCAACUGCAUGCCACAUAUUUAUGCAAAAAUGAAAAACAAGCUGAAAACACUGUUCCUGAUUUUUUAUUUUUAUUUUUAUUUUAUUUUUUAUUGCUCUUCUGUAGCAUUAAGCCUCAAAUGUCAACUCUUCCAGCUAACACACGACGUAACAGUUGUACGACGUAAUGUAUUCGUCCUUUUUGGUAAUUUCAUGACUUAGUUUCUACUAACUGACAACGUAACUACGACGUCGCAUGCCAGUAAUUCAUUACCUUCAAAUUACCAUCUCACAACGUCGUCAGUACGAUCUCAUAACGUUGUAAGAUUACCAAGAACGUUCCAGAUACGUACUCUAUUCGUAAUAUAUCGGUAAUUCCAUGACUUUAUGUUGCACAGUAUGUUGACAAGAUAAUUUUUCUGAGGUGUGAAACUUUUUAUUUCGUAACAAUUUAUGCGGCUAACGUUGGCAUAAUGACACAGACAUAGCCUAGCACCUUCUCAUCUGACAGCAGAUACUGAAUAAGGACAACUCAAGUCACUUUUUACUUCAACUGCGUCUGACAGAAGAAUUUAUUUUUCCGAGUGCUGGUGGCCGUUGAGAGUUGGCAUGCCAACCGGGAAAACAUUCAAGCAGCUGAAGAGGACAGUGUCCACAUUUCCAAAGACUAUAGAAUAACACAAGACGCGUCACUCGUAUUAUUAUGAAUGGGAGAAAGUGCAACGCGCAAUAUGGCGGAAUAAGUCCCUCCUUCUAAAUAAGAGCCAAUCGCCGAUUGGUAAAGUCAUCGCGUCACUGCAGCGGCCGUUAGAAGCUCCGGUUUCUAUAGAAACAGACAGACGCGCGCCUCUGAAAUGAGGCACAAGAGACGCACAUUAGGUUGAUCCAGCCUGAAAAAGAACGUUUUUUUUUUUUUUUUUUUGUCAUGAUUUGAGCGUUUAGAAACAAAAUUUAUGAGACAGUUGUUGUCAGAUUUCAUUGGUGAUUUCAAAUAUGUAUUUUAAUCGAAAGCUUGGCAAACAGCUUUAGAGAAUUUGAUGUUUCCCCAUUCAAAGAGAUAGGAGCUGCACUUGGAUGCCCGAGAGGCGUUUCAAAGAUGGCCGCCGAGUGAAAUGACUUCUCUUAAAGGGACUUUGACAUUUCUCCGUGUUUCUCGUCAGUUUUAUCAAAGCUUUUUAAUUUUUAAUUAAUAAAUUUAAGAUCAUCAUGUUUGCAGCGAACAAUAUAUUUCUGACCUAGUGGAAUAAUAGUAAUAAUAUCUAGGUCUGAAUUGAAAUAGGCUAUAUUGUACGUUUUAAUGGAUCACGCUACAAACAUAAUGAUCUUAUAAUACAUGAUGCAUUGCUCUGUCCGUUAUCGCAUAAAUUCCCACUUUUGUACACUUUUGCUUUAACGGACUUUAGACUGCAAAAUCAAGCUGUUAUAUUCAUAUAUUUAUUGUCCAACAUUCCCAUUUUUUCUGAUGCAUGUCCUUAAUUUAAUUUCAUAUGUUGGUAAUAAUUCAGUGUUUAUAAGCCUUUUAAAAUAUUUUAACCCAAACUGACUGGGUUUCUAGAGAGCAAAGAUUUUGUGAAAAAAGUGGAAGACUUAAACACAAAGUGUGUAAAAUAAACUGUAAAAAGGAUUUGAUGAUCAGUAUUUUAUUCUGUGUUGUCAUCAUUCAGGUUGGAUUUCAGCUUUAAUGUUUUUUUUUUUUGUUUUUU
This is a long non-coding RNA of Ctenopharyngodon idella (grass carp), 1805 nucleotides long. RefSeq lists it as uncharacterized. The record is from RefSeq and is a predicted model, not a curated record. The transcript has 2 exons. NCBI's taxonomy places the organism in Eukaryota, Metazoa, Chordata, Actinopteri, Cypriniformes, Xenocyprididae.